UGACAAGGAGUUUCUGCAAAAAAAUCCCUUAUGGUUUCCCCGCCCAAAGAAGUUGAUACUUCAAAGAAGUUCUAUUUCUUCUUUCAUUUUAGGUAUGCAAAUAAUACAUUUCAUCUAUCGACCUACAUCAAAUAUUUCAUUACCUUUUAUCAACUAGAUUAUCUUCGUCGGUAGAAAUUUCACUCUGUCUUCGUUGAUUCUCUUGGCCACUUUGACAUUCGUAGGUAGUGAUUGUUGAC
This 239-nucleotide long non-coding RNA is filed under the name Zostera marina. RNAcentral's name for it is "long non-coding RNA (ZMAR_LNC005199)". The record is from RNAcentral. Lineage: Eukaryota; Viridiplantae; Streptophyta; Magnoliopsida; Alismatales; Zosteraceae.